RNAcentral lists this ribosomal RNA (254 nucleotides) under uncultured bacterium. Its description in RNAcentral is "partial 16S ribosomal RNA". It matches the Rfam family "Bacterial small subunit ribosomal RNA", at positions 524 to 776 of the family's 1533-position model. The record is from RNAcentral.
UACGGGGGGGGCAAGCGUUGUUCGGAAUUACUGGGCGUAAAGGGCGCGUAGGCGGCCUGCUAAGUCGGACGUGAAAUCCCUCGGCUCAACCGGGGAACUGCGUCCGAUACUGGCGAGGCUUGAAUCCGGGAGAGGGAUGUGGAAUUCCAGGUGUAGCGGUGAAAUGCGUAGAUAUCUGGAGGAGCACCAGUGGCGAAGGCGGCAUCCUGGACCGGUAUUGACGCUGAGGCGCGAAAGCUAGGGUAGCAAACGGG